ACAGAGGGUGCGAGCGUUGUCCGGAAUCACUGGGCGUAAAGGGCGCGUAGGCGGCCUGAUAAGUCGGGGGUGAAAUCCUGUGGCUCAACCACAGGGCUGCCUCCGAGACUGUCGGGCUCGAGCACAGUAGAGGCAGGUGGAAUUCCCGGUGUAGCGGUGGAAUGCGUAGAGAUCGGGAAGAACAUCGGUGGCGAAAGCGCUCUACUGGACCACAACUGACACUCAGGGACGAAAGCUAGGGGAGCGAAUGGGA
Molecule: ribosomal RNA, 253 nt
Filed under: uncultured prokaryote
Description: partial 16S ribosomal RNA
Rfam family: Bacterial small subunit ribosomal RNA
Source: RNAcentral